UUACAGGCGUAGCCACAGCGCCCGGCCGAUUGACGGCCAUCCCGUCUCUACUAAAAAUAAAAAAAUUAGCCAGGCGUGGUGGCGGGCACGAACUCCUGGACCUCAAGUGAUCUGCCCAUUUCGGCCUCCCAAAGUAAGGGGAUUACAGGCAUGAGCCACCGCGCCCCGCCAGUGCUCAGUUUCAAUUCUUUAGUUCAUUCCCAGGUUACAACGCCUGCACAAAAACAACAAAUUCCAUUUCCAUAAGGAGUCAUUGACCAUCCCAAUUCUCAUUUAUUCACUCAUUCAACAAAUACAUAAAGAGCCUAUCAUAUCCAGCUACUAUUAGGCAAGGGAAUACAACCAUGAAAAUGAUGUAGUCUCUUCCUUCAAAGGGUCUGCAGUUUCUGGAGGAAAGGUUAAUUAUAAUACAAAAAUAAGUGACAUGAUAAAAUACACAGUAAUAGCAUACAGGAACCCCUAUCUCCUAUUGGGUGUGGUGAACAGGAAAGUUUUUCCAAGUUCUGAAAGAUGAAUAGAGUUAGCUGGCAAAGAGGAGACAAGGGUAUUUCAAACAGAGGACAAGAACAUUAUUAGAAGCACCACUGCACUCCAGCCUGAGCGACAGAGCGAGACUCUGUCUCACAAAAAAAAAUGAUAAUAAUAAAAAAUAAUUCAUAGGAGGGGGCUAAAAGUCUGGAUUUGGAUUUUUGACAGUGGAAAUGGAAAAGAAAGGAAUGAGAAUACACAUUAUAAGGAAGGAGGUUAUGAAAUUUUGGUUAAUUAAUGGUCUCUAAUGAUUAGCAUGAGCAUGUAGAACUCAAUGUUUACUGAUUAUUUGACACUCUAAAAUUCUGGUCCAUACCCAUAGCAGAAAUAAAGGGUGAACAAGAUGAUGAGUUUAAAAAUUCAGCUGUUUUAAUAAAGUUCAUUGUUAAUUUUUUUUAAGAAAUGAGGCUUUCAGCCAGGCGUGGUGGUUCACACCUGUAAUGCCAGCAAAAAAAAAAAAAACAUUACCCAAGUGCAGUGGUGCACACCUGUAGUCCCAGCUACUUAGGAUGCUGAGCAGGGAGGAUUACUUGAGCUGCAGUGAACUAUGAUCUCACCACUGCACUCCAGCCUGGGCAAGAGAGGGAGACUUCGUCUUAAAAAAGAAAAGAAAAGAAAAGAACAUUUAGAUGCCAGGCAAAUGUUUUAUUAGUACAAGGCCAGAAAUGAAAAUCUCAGGCAAUUUCAAGGCCCAGUUGCAAUCUACUGCCACCUACUGGGGAGUCAACUGGAGGCUGGAGGGGAAAUGUAUACUUUAUUAAUUAUUAAUUGCUAAACCUAUUAUACAAACUUAUAGUUAGUUUCAUAAGGUCAUCUAUUCUUUCAGAUCUUUACUAUAAACUGGAAUUGUUGUAUCACUACCAGAUCAUGGGCCCUAUAGCUUUAUUACUGACUGAUCAAGCUUGAUGCCUUAUCCCAUUUUAAUUCUACUGCUUAGUGAGUGGUUUUAGGAUUUCCUUAGGUUAAGAAUUUCUUCACUUCUUAGGUUAAAACAGCAGCCAGGUGCAGUGGCUCAUGCCUGUAAUCCCAGUACUUUGGGAGGCUGAGGUGGGAGGAUCAUUUGAGCCCAGGAGUUGGAGACCAGCCUGGGCAACAGGCAACAAAGCAAGACCCCAUCUUUACCAAAAGAAAAAAAAAAUACACCUGGCACGGUGGCUCACACCUGUAAUCCCAACACUUUGGGAGGCUGAGGCAAAUGGAUCUUGUCAGGUCAGGCAUUCGAGACCAGCCUGGCCAACAUGGUGAAACACCCUCUCUCCUAAAAAUACAAAUUUAGCCGGGUGUGGUGAUGCAGGCCUAUA
This 1829-nucleotide long non-coding RNA is filed under the name Homo sapiens (human). RNAcentral describes it as "non-protein coding lnc-ESRP1-4:1". Lineage: Eukaryota; Metazoa; Chordata; Mammalia; Primates; Hominidae. The record is from RNAcentral.